CCUAAGGGUCGGGGGAACCCCGACAGAUAGCGCGUUUCGCGCGUACUCCGAAAGGGAAUCGGGUUAAAAUUCCUGA
Molecule: ribosomal RNA, 76 nt
Filed under: Nicotiana attenuata
Lineage: Eukaryota; Viridiplantae; Streptophyta; Magnoliopsida; Solanales; Solanaceae
Description: rRNA LSU_rRNA_eukarya
Source: RNAcentral